AACGAACGCUGGCGGCAGGCCUAACACAUGCAAGUCGAGCGAGGACUUCGGUCCUAGCGGCGGACGGGUGAGUAACGCGUGGGAACGUGCCCUUUGCUUCGGAAUAGCCCUGGGAAACUGGGAGUAAUACCGGAUGAGCCCUUUUGGGGAAAGAUUUAUCGGCGAAGGAUCGGCCCGCGUUGGAUUAGGUAGUUGGUGGGGUAAUGGCCUACCAAGCCGACGAUCCAUAGCUGGUUUGAGAGGAUGAUCAGCCACACUGGGACUGAGACACGGCCCAGACUCCUACGGGAGGCAGCAGUGGGGAAUCUUAGACAAUGGGGGAAACCCUGAUCGAGCCAUGCCGCGUGAGCGAUGAAGGCCUUAGGGUUGUAAAGCUCUUUCAGCUGGGAAGAUAAUGACGGUACCAGCAGAAGAAGCCCCGGCUAACUCCGUG
RNAcentral lists this ribosomal RNA (433 nucleotides) under uncultured bacterium. RNAcentral's name for it is "partial 16S ribosomal RNA". It matches the Rfam family "Bacterial small subunit ribosomal RNA", at positions 29 to 507 of the family's 1533-position model. The record is from RNAcentral.